GGAGAGGUGUCAGAGUGGUCUAUCGUCCGACUUUGCUAAAGUCGGAGGGGUCUUAAAGCCCCUCGCGAGUUCGAAUCUCGCCCUCUCCG
Molecule: transfer RNA, 89 nt
Filed under: Candidatus Yanofskybacteria bacterium RIFCSPHIGHO2_01_FULL_41_21
Lineage: Bacteria; Candidatus Yanofskyibacteriota
Description: tRNA-Ser
Rfam family: tRNA
About the family: Transfer RNA (tRNA) molecules are approximately 80 nucleotides in length. Their secondary structure includes four short double-helical elements and three loops (D, anti-codon, and T loops). Further hydrogen bonds mediate the characteristic L-shaped molecular structure. tRNAs have two regions of fundamental functional importance: the anti-codon, which is responsible for specific mRNA codon recognition, and the 3' end, to which the tRNAs corresponding amino acid is attached (by aminoacyl-tRNA synthetases). tRNAs cope with the degeneracy of the genetic code in two manners: having more than one tRNA (with a specific anti-codon) for a particular amino acid; and 'wobble' base-pairing, i.e. permitting non-standard base-pairing at the 3rd anti-codon position.
Source: RNAcentral